AUCCAUACUCACACCACCCAUACCAUUCAUAUACACACACUCGACCUCACGUUCAAUCAAUCAGUUGUACAGUAAGACAGACACAUAUACAUUUUUUGUUCUCUACUAGCAUGAGAUAGGAGAAUUCCGUGAACUUUGCCCUCUGCCGUACCUGACAUUCUGCAAUCAGCAAUCUAGGGGUUGCAUCCCCAGAAGAAAAUGCAGACAGCGAUGUACAAACUAAAUGAAUGGAGUGGAUGUGCCCAAGCCGACGGUCGUGGAGAGAUUUUAUUCAGAUUUCAUCAAACAGCUGAGGACAUUCUGGAAGUUAUCAUAGAUCAGUUUAUUUGAUCUAUUUUGUACUUGGAAUUCAAACGUAAUAUCCCAUAACUACAAGAAGAAGGCAAGAAUAAGUGACGCCAGAAUGUACCAGAGCUUGGCCUUAACCUCAAAUCAGUCUCCAUAUGCGCACGACACUGGAAACUACAUCCACGCCUCGGCCGGUUCUCCGGUUUACGUGCCCACCACCCGUGUACCUGCCAUGUUACAGACUCUGCCGUACUUGCAGACGUGCGACUCUGCUCAUCAGUCGCAUGGCCUCGGAGGGCACCAUGGCUGGCCUCAGACUGGCACGGAUAGUUCGUCAUUCAACCCAGGCAGGCCGCACCCACCCCCCGAGUUCUCCUACGCACACAGUCCCCCUGUGAGCAGCAGUACUGGCAGAGAUGCAACAUACCAGAGCCCGCUCGUUCUGAGUAACGGCGGAAGGGCUGAUCAGUACAGCAGUUCUCUGGUGCGCUCAGUCGGAGGGUCCUACUCGAGCCCCUAUGCGGCGUACAUGAGCCCGGAGAUGGCGACUUCUUGGACACCUGGACACUUCGAGAGCGGCAUGAUCAGCCUCCAGGGAAGGCACGGAGCUCUUCAGGGAAGGAGGUCCAGCAUGGAAAUGUUGGAUGAGAUACCGGGUGAGGGGCGCGAGUGCGUGAACUGCGGUUCGAUUUCCACCCCUCUGUGGCGGCGAGAUGGCACCGGACAUUACCUGUGCAACGCUUGUGGUCUGUACCAUAAAAUGAACGGCAUCAACCGGCCACUGAUCAAACCACAGAAACGCCUGCAAACCACCUCCAGGCGAGCUGGACUUUGCUGCACCAACUGCCACACCAGCACCACAACGCUAUGGCGUCGUAACGCAGAGGGAGAGCCCGUCUGCAACGCCUGUGGCCUCUACAUGAAGCUGCAUGGGGUCCCAAGACCACUAGCAAUGAAGAAGGAGAGCAUUCAGACCAGGAAGAGGAAGCCCAAAAUGGCCAAAUCUAAAACAUCAUCAGGUAACAGACUGCGGGUCGCCUCAAAAUGGUUUCUUAAUGCAGUUUAGUGUUAGUGCCCUACUUCCAUCCAGUACAUGCACAGUAUAACAUGCUAAACGAAAUGCAUCAGAACACCUAUGAUCCAUGUCAACACAUGCUUGAUUCAGUCCACCCCUUAAUAAUGUCUUGCCUUAAUGUUCCAAACAAACCUAAAGAAGUUGGGUAUUGCUCUUAUAUAACAUUUCUGUAUUUAUUAGCUUGAAAUACAACAGAAGGAACUCUUAAGAUAAAUCAGUAGGUAAAUAAUAAAUAAAUACUUCACUAAUUUAAUUCUCAAAGUAAAGGCUAACUCUUUGCAAGGGAUUGCAUCAGAUAUUUAAUCAAUAUAAUUCUGGAAAACUGUUUAGUUUUUGACUCCAGAAAAGUUGUUAGGAGCGUAUUAGCCAAGAAGUAGGAACCUCCAGAAAUGCCAAUGCAUAACACCUACAACUUCUAAAUCAAUCAUCAUUUAGCUGACUGCACAGAUAGAUCAAGGUUCCUCUUCCAGGGGCCAAAGUAACAGAGCUCUUGUGAAAGUCCAUCUGGCUAGGCAGCGUCUAACUCUUGUUGGUGUUCGACAGGAUCUGCCUCUGGCACCAGCUCCCCCUCCUCCAUGUCAGUCUCAGAAAGUGCUUCCACUAUUAAGAGUGAGCCCAACAUGGCCCCUUCACCCUAUGCUGGACAGACCAUGGUUUCUGUCUCUCAGGCAUCAUCACAGCUGGACAGUAUGACCUCCGGACAUACAGACAUCAAGUAUGAGGAUUACCACUUCACACCCACAUCAAUGGCCCCUCAGAAUUCCUGGUGCGCCUUGUCCCUGGCAUGAUCCCACAAAAUCAACACUCAGUUCUGGAACAUCCACUCUACCCAGGGUGUUCUGGAUAUGGACUUAUGACGAGAACUACCUAUUACUGACUGUGUCUUUCCCAGAGGGAGAACAGGAAACAAGAAGGAAUUAUGGCAAUUUAUUUGGAAAAUUUGAAGUAAGAAUACACAUUUGUAUUGACAAUUACCAAAUCUUUUUAUCAUUGUUGUUGGUGCCUGUGGUAUGUGCAUUUGGUACAUGGCUUUGCAAAGACACUCAGCAUCACAGCAAGUUAUUACAGUGUGAUAAUACAAAAAAGUGCAAUGAGGGAAAAACUGUUUAUUACCUCUUAACCUGCUUCAUUAUUCAAAUGUAAAUAAUUAUAAUUGUAAAGAUAUAUUUAUGUUGAGAUAAGGGCAGUCAAGACAUAAAGAUGUUGGAGUGUCAUAUUCCAUGAUUGUAUUUAAACUUGCUUAGAGAAGUUUCAAGCAGUCAAGGAGAAGAUUCUGAAAGAAUAGCUUUUGCUGAUUAAUUUUAUUCUUAACAAUUUAUCCAGCAAUUUUAAGUGCAAUGACUAUCUUUUCAGGAAUAAAGUGAAAAGGGGCAAGAUUAAUAAUAGAUACAUGUUUUUAUUUGGAAUAUGUUAACCUAAAUUCAUUUGCUGCAUUAUAUUGGACUGCUUUUUUUGCUUAAAAAAGUCUGAAGAUCUUGGAUCUGGGUUCAAGAAUGUCUGCCUCUCUGACUGCCUCUCUUGUUUGUUUGCAAUGCUCUUUAAAAUCUGUUUAGGUAAAUAAAUAAAUUAAUAAACCGUA
Molecule: RNA transcript, 2942 nt
Organism: Anguilla rostrata (American eel)
Lineage: Eukaryota; Metazoa; Chordata; Actinopteri; Anguilliformes; Anguillidae
Gene: gata5
Gene name: GATA binding protein 5
Exons: 6
Source: RefSeq, a predicted model, not a curated record